CCCUUAGAUGUUCUGGGCGGCCCGCGCACUACAUUGGCACUAGCAAAGAGAUCCUAGAUUGAAUUCUUUGGGGUAUUCUUCUAAAUGGUGUCGUGACUGGGAUAAAUCCUUGUAAUUAUUGGUUUUGAACGAGGAAUUCCUUGUAAUCGCGGUUUAUCAGCUCGCGUUGAAUGCGUCCCUGCCCUUUGUACACACCGCCCGUCGCUCCUACCGAUGGAUCGUCCGGUGAAGCUCACGGAGUGACUGUUCACGCAACGAUUUACGAAGUGAAAUGGACCUCACGAUUUAGAGGAAGGAGAAGUCGUAACA
RNAcentral lists this ribosomal RNA (309 nucleotides) under uncultured eukaryote. Its description in RNAcentral is "partial 18S ribosomal RNA". It matches the Rfam family "Eukaryotic small subunit ribosomal RNA", at positions 1470 to 1796 of the family's 1831-position model. The record is from RNAcentral.